GGAUGGGUGGCAGAGCGGUUGAAUGCACCGGUCUUGAAAACCGGCAGACAUGAAAGUGUCUCGUGGGUUCAAAUCCCACCCCAUCCG
Molecule: transfer RNA, 87 nt
Filed under: Planctomycetaceae bacterium
Lineage: Bacteria; Pseudomonadati; Planctomycetota; Planctomycetia; Planctomycetales; Planctomycetaceae
Also listed under: 2 other names
Description: tRNA-Ser
Rfam family: tRNA
About the family: Transfer RNA (tRNA) molecules are approximately 80 nucleotides in length.
Source: RNAcentral